This is a long non-coding RNA of Octopus sinensis (East Asian common octopus), 1001 nucleotides long. RefSeq lists it as uncharacterized. The transcript is spliced from 3 exons. The record is from RefSeq and is a predicted model, not a curated record. Lineage: Eukaryota; Metazoa; Mollusca; Cephalopoda; Octopoda; Octopodidae.
AUAUAUAUAUAUAUAUAUAUAUAUAUAUGUGUGUCAGAAGAAAUUCACUUCAUCUGACCCAGUAAUAUCAACUCUACCAUAUGUGGUACAUACCCAAAACAUAUAGUUUACUUUUGUUGGAAUUCUCUCUUGGUUCAAAAACAAUAUGGUUUCCAUUUCUAAUAAGGUUUUCUCAAAGCAAAAUCAGAUUUGCUUUUUCCAAUGACUUUUGGGAUUUUUCUUCAGAAAAGUUCCAUAUUCUGCCAUUGGUUCAUUGUCCUGUGUCCUUUUAUUAACCUUGCACCAUAAACUCGCCUCUGACCAGACUGUUGAUUUUUCUUUUUAACAAACUGAGAAAGGCUACCAAAUUUUGCAAUUCUUGUAACCGUCCUUGUAUGAUCUUCCAUUGAGCUAUUCUCAUGGAAACAAGCUGAGGUUCUGUUUUGUUAAAUACUCAUGUAUUACCAUUACAAACAUUUAAAAUUAUUCUUUGAGUUUCUUUUACUAAGUGUAAAUAUUUUCCAGUACCCAUCUGGUCAAUACAGCCAGUUGUGGCUCACCAUUUUGAGGGUUAUUUUUUAACCCUUCUUCAUGUUUCAAAUUUCUUCAGUAUCUUUGUCAUGGUAGACAGUGAUAAUGACAUGUCAAAUACUCAGGCCGUUUCUGGUUAUAUAUAGUAUCAGUAUCUCAUUUCAUAUCAAAGAUACAAUAACUUUACUCGGACAUCUAUUGUCAGUUUACCACCAACCCCAAACCCCCACCACCCUGGCUACAACCACUAGAUUUAGAUUAAGCAUGAUUACAUUAUGUGAAAUUUUAUCACCCACUCAUACCAAUGUCAUCCAUUGUAAAAUAAAAUAAAACAAUAUCUCAUUUCAUUUCUUUGUCCUUGAAGACGUUUGAAUUUUCAAAUAGAUGGUCUUGUGUUAAAAUUGAAAUUAUGAGAAAAAAGAAAAACAAAACAAAAAAACCACAACAUUGUGUGUGUGUGUGUGUGUGGGUGUGUGUGUGUGUGUGUGUGU